RNAcentral lists this long non-coding RNA (224 nucleotides) under Gossypium barbadense (sea-island cotton). RNAcentral's name for it is "long non-coding RNA (GBAR_LNC015618)". Lineage: Eukaryota; Viridiplantae; Streptophyta; Magnoliopsida; Malvales; Malvaceae. The record is from RNAcentral.
AUGGUUGGUCUGUGGAUGGUGGUUGGCCUGUAGAUGAUGGUUGUGGAGGUGAAAUAGGUGAAUCAUAAAUUGUGUUAGAUGCAAGUAAUCUGACUGGAGUGGUAGGGUUGUUUGGAGAAUGUUGAAGAAAAGGAAAAAUUGUUUCAUGAAAUGUGACAUUGCGAGAAACAAAAAUUGCUCGAGUCUCGGUAUCAAGAAGAAUAUAACCUUUAACAUGUGGUUUG